UACGUAGGGUGCAAGCGUUAAUCGGAAUUACUGGGCGUAAAGCGUGCGCAGGCGGUUAUAUAAGACAGAUGUGAAAUCCCCGGGCUCAACCUGGGAACUGCAUUGGAAACUGGCGGACUUGAGUGUGGCAGAGGGGGGUGGAAUUCCGCGUGUAGCAGUGAAAUGCGUAGAGAUGCGGAGGAACACCGAUGGCGAAGGCAGCCCCUGGGCCAACACUGACGCUCAGGCACGAAAGCGUGGGGAGCAAACAGGAUUAGAUACCCC
Molecule: ribosomal RNA, 264 nt
Filed under: uncultured bacterium
Lineage: Bacteria
Description: partial 16S ribosomal RNA
Rfam family: Bacterial small subunit ribosomal RNA
Source: RNAcentral